GGUGCUCCCCAUCACACAGACGCCAGACGCUCCUGGUCUCACCACUGUCCCGCAGAGGCCAACCUAGGACCAGGACUGGGGUGCAGGUAGUUUAUUUGGGAGGUGAUACUAAAAGCCCCAGGGAGGAGUGGGGAAACCGAGGCAGGGAGGGAAGAAACCCGAUGACGUUUGCCAAACGAGGAGGUUACCAUUGUGGGCAACUGAGGCACAGUCCUGCUGGGCCCUCUGAGAACCCCAGGGCACGCGCCUCAGCAUCGGCCCCCUGGAGGACAAGGACGCUGGGUAUAGGCGUUUCUCUCCUGACCGCCCGUGGGUGGAGGGUGGUCGUGGGGGCGCGGGUGGACCAGGCCCCGGGAGGGGGCUCAGUGCCUGGGGAGCUGCCGCAGCGCCCUCAGGUGGCCUGCGUGGACGGAGCAGCUCCAGCGUGUCUGGCCCUGCAUUGGGGUCCUAGAACCCGGCCUCAGCGUGGCCAAGGAACCAGGCCAGUGUGGCAGACUCAGGGGCAGCUCGGAGCUGCUCAGGCGGACCUGCAUUUUCACAAGCUCCCCCAGUGCUGUGAGCGCAGGAAAGUGUGAGAAGCUCUGGGAGGUCUGGAUUCCUCCCCCAACCCCACUCCCCCCACAACACCCCCCAUGGAAAAGGCAUCACCUGAAGCAAACCCUCUGCUCACCUGUGAGCCCAGGGAGCAGGCUGGAGGGGGUUCUGCUUCCCCAAAAUGGAAGGUCAGCAAACACUGGUGAGCAGCCAUAAAUAAGACAGAUGUCCUCCCCCCCAGGCACUGUGGCCUCUUCUCCCCUUGCUCCUCCACCAGCUCACUCAGGCCUGCAUGCACUGCCUCUGGUCUGGCCUCCCGCUUCCCUCUCCCUCUUCCCCUCCCUCCCUUCUCCCCUCAGCUCUGCAGCUGGAAGGAUUCAAAUCCACACCCAACAAAGCCCACCAGCACUUCACACCCCCUGUGGCUUCCAGUGCUCCUAGGGUCCUGGCCUGGCUGGGCACCCCACCUCUGAGCACCCCCUCCCCCCUUCUGUCACCCUCCCCCCCACGCCAGGCUCCACCCACACUGACCACGUGGCGCCUGUGUGCCCAGCUCGUAUGUGCCUCAAGGUCCUUGCAGAUGCUGUUCCCCCUGUCUAGAAUGCUACACUCGUUCCAGGUUGACUCCUGUGCUUCCUUCAGGCCUCAGUCUGGACGUUGUCUCUUCCUUGGGGCCUGCUGCUCCCUCCACCCUGUCACUCCUGCACAUCACAGCCUUUACAGUUCUUCAUGACAACUGUCACAGUGUGUCACUAACAUGGGCUCUGUGGUACUUUCCCACGUGGCUGGCCUCGCAGUUUGCUGUGGCUGAACAUAAGGAGGCCGUUUGUCCCCCGGGACUGCACAGGAUAUGGUGCUGCCCUAGUCUGUGCUCGGUAUACAAGGCCGCAGUGGAACUGCACAGCCACGUGCUCUCCUGGUCGGUGACAUGGCAGGGCCAGCAUGGUGGAGAAGCCUGACAGCCCCACCCAGAAUCAGGGAUGGGCUCUGGGUGCGUCCUGGCUCAGGCGACCCGCCAGCCCUCCUGAGGUGCAGGCGACCCCGGACACAUCCUGGGACGAGCCGGUGCCCGAGACCAGGGAGAAAGCGAGCCCCAGGGGACCCUCAACACUCCGCACGGGGUCAUCACAGGUGCCGACACAGGCAAACAUGGUUGAGGCUGGGACGCACGGAGCCCUGGGUGCUGGGUGAGCACGGGCAGGGGCCAGUCCAGGUCCCGGCUCACGCCUCGGUGACCAGGAUGACCAGUGGGCACUGACGGUGGAACUGCCUGUCCCGCCACAAGUGAAGCAGGGGUGCCGUGACCUGGUGGACAGUGGAGGUCCUUCUGACUGCUGAGGGGACGUGCACGGUGGGACAUGGGAGGCCCUAUCUGCAGCUGUCCCUGCCAUGUGCCCCAUCUGACACAAGGGGGCAGUGGUGAGCUGAGACCUCGCUGCCCAAGCUGUGCAGGUGUCCAUCUAAGGUGAGGAAGUGCCGUGGAGUCCCCGGUUCCUCGUUGGAUGUUUCCCAGGUAAAGCAGGAGGUCUCCCCUUACGGAGCCCUAUGUCGGGCACAAAGCCACCAUCCAGAUCACCUGCCUACAGAGGAGAUUUGUUUCUCCCUUUAAUGUGAGAGGUGGAUCAGGGCUUGAAGAAGAACUUACACACGCCCCGUCUGGGCUGCUCAUCUUCAGCCUCAUCGUGCGGCUGCCCUGGGCGGCGGUUUAAGAGAACAGGAGAAAUGGUCCGCAAUCGCAGAACCAGACUUCUCUGCAAAGUAAAAAUAGCUUUAUGAUGAUUCUAAAAGCAAUGCAUUCUUGUUAGAAAACGAAAGUCAACAAAAGGGGCCUAAAGAAGAAACUUUUAGAAAUCACCAGAGCCACGCUUUUAGCUGAUCUCUUAGUACUGGACACUUGGGUUGUUGACAAAUGUCACUAAACAUGAUCCUUUAUGUAAAUAUUUAUCUAUAAACUUUGGCAGACCUUCCUAAUCAUGUCUCAGGGUAAGUUUUCUAUGAGUGCAACGCUGUAGGCAAACGGGCUCCAUGUGGUAAGAGCUUUUAAAGCUUGAGCAGGCCCCAGCGCGCUCCCCCAGCAGAGUAAGAGGGACCCGCCUCCCACUCUGCUUCUGAGACUGAAGACUUCCGCUCCAGAUGCUUUGAGAACUUGAAGGAUAAAAAGUACGUCUCAUUUUUACAAAGAGUAAUCACUUUGUUCUUGUAAAAUUGGUACACUAUAAAAAUAAAAUAAUUUAAGGAUUACCAAAAAGAAUAGAGAAGAAAAGAGAAAACUGUCCUAAAUCCCACCAUCUGGAAAUAACCAUGGUUUCGUUUGAACAUCCUUCCAGAAUCUGUUUGGAAAGGCAGGUUCAAGGACAGGCAGCUGGAGGGGCGGAUAGGGUGAGGUCAGGAUGGGGCCUGACACACAAGCCUGCUUCUCCAGACACGUCCAAACUCCAGAGAACAGCGAGGAGAUGGUACAGAGAGGACAGCUCUCUCAGGGCGCUGGACCCCAGCGACAUGCUGGCGUCUC
Molecule: long non-coding RNA, 3046 nt
Organism: Diceros bicornis minor
Lineage: Eukaryota; Metazoa; Chordata; Mammalia; Perissodactyla; Rhinocerotidae
Exons: 3
Source: RefSeq, a predicted model, not a curated record